Molecule: transfer RNA, 73 nt
Filed under: Parascardovia denticolens IPLA 20019
Lineage: Bacteria; Bacillati; Actinomycetota; Actinomycetes; Bifidobacteriales; Bifidobacteriaceae
Description: tRNA-Asp
Rfam family: tRNA
About the family: Transfer RNA (tRNA) molecules are approximately 80 nucleotides in length. Their secondary structure includes four short double-helical elements and three loops (D, anti-codon, and T loops).
Source: RNAcentral
GGCCUUAUAGCAUAGCGGUCAAUGCGCCUCCCCGUCGAGGAGGAUGACGCCGGUUCGAAUCCGGCUAAGGUCG